ACUCUUCAGUCAGCAAACCACUUUUAUUUUCCUUCACCAACACCAGUUACGUCCUCCUCCUUUUAUUUAAGUACCUUAUUCUACUACUACUACAUUUUGCCUUUAGGAGUAGCUUUAGUACGUUGACUCCGACGGCGGCAGAAGCCAUAUUUUCACAUUCGCCACGGUGCGCCAAAACAAGAAGCGAUUCAAUGACGAUUCAGUAUGUCGGUAGAACUUUAGCAAUGCGAUUGUGAAGAAGGUAGUCUGUGGAAAAGCUAUCCGUUGGUUAAAGAAACGGAAAACUUAAAUUAAAUAAGCGCCCAAAGAGCAUAGAGGAUUUCAUAUAAUAAGCCAAGUGCAAUUUGUACCGGUGUGACUAAGGGUGUGCUACGGUAAAACUGAAUCCAGCAAAGCAGCCAAAAAUAGUUAAUCAUAAGAUAUCCUGAAAGGUGCAAACCUAUACGCGAGAUUCAUCAUAAGUUGAAACAAAAAAGCAGAGAUUCUCAUAUAUGGCACUUACAUGCGCAAAAGUGAUUACGGCACACAAAUUGGAGCAAACACUGAAUACUAUAGAUAUUAAAGACGGAAGUGGGUGACAUUGGGAGUAUGCAGUCCAACAAUGCCGCCACUUUUAUUGAAUUUGACAGUAGUGGUGGUAACAGUGGGUACGUUCGGAUGUCCUUAUUGUCAGCGAAAAUACUCUUAUUGGUUUCGGUAGCUAAGUGGACAACGUACAAGAUAAUUAUUUCCAACUUAUAGGUAUGGCAUCAGUCAUUAAUUGGUUGAAUCGAUCACUGCUACUAUAUGGCAUAAAUAACUGUGGUAUAAAUAUUCACAUUCUAAUCAACGAAGCAAUGGUAAAAAUGCCACGUUUUCGUGGAAGAGCAAAAAAUAUUGGUCGACGUACUCGGAACGCGAAAUUGGUCUAUGAUCGUCGAUUUAAUAGAUUAGUAAAAGAACAAUCGGCGGAUAAUAUAAAUUUAUGAAAUCAAGUUGCACGUAUACGAUCAAAUGCAAAUUCAGGGUAACGCACUCAACGUAUUCGUGGUAAUACCUUAAUACAACGAGGGGCCGUCAACAAGCGACCAACGCACAUAGAGAACAUAACCAACGGCGAAUGCAGAAUAAUCGAGCAUUGGCACGAGCAUCACUUAAUCGUCUCGCGUUUGAAUAUGAUCCUGAAAUAAACUAUUCGUCACAUCUAUUAAUGACAAUCGGUAGUUUGGACAAAGAGUGUCAACAUUGUCAUGCUUUCAAGUAACAAAGGUAUAUCAGCUGGCUUAUGUUGCUCAUCUGGGAAAAUUUCAUUGCUUUUAGCUGGAACCACAUCUCAAUCGAAAUUGUUUUUGCGGAAAAUUCGUAAAUACAAUUCAUGUUCCAAAUGUUGUUAUUUGGAGCAAAAAAAUUGUUCAUCGUGAAGAUGGUCGCAAUUUUGAAUCUAGAUUCAAGAUUCAAAGUCAAGUGUUCCAUCGAAUCAGUUCAUUGCCUUCAAUGUCUGAUGCCGAUCCAAAAUUUUUACAAAUUUAUUUUAUGGGAAAUGAAGAGCAACAAUCGCAUACACGCUCCGCUUACAACCAUAUAGAGCAGAUGGUUAAAGGAUUGUGGACAUUCUGGAAACCGUAACCAAUUGGUACCAUUGUUCAAUAUCCUUUCUAACAGACACAAAAACGACAACUACGUCACUGUCAUUAAAGCAGACAAAGUGUCCUGGAGUGGAGAGCACGCAGGCACUUAUAAUGUUCCAUUUGUUAAUGAAGUUGCAGUUUUUGUGUCUGGUGACCCAUGUGAACGUCGAGACAUAUGCAUACAACGCAGAUGAUACGAUGCAAAUAAUUCAAGACAAUUAUCGUUCUUACGAUGCUUUGCAGUAUCCGUUGACAUUUGGGAAGGAGAAGAUGGAUAUCAUUUAAGUAUUAACCAAAGGAAUCCAACUACAGGUACAUCUUAUAGAUUAUCUUACAAUUUUUCAAUUCAAUUCAAUUAAGUCAAUAAUUUUUGUUUAUGUCAUAAAUAUAUUCAUUUAUAGGUGAAGAACUGAUGAAGACAUAUAGAAUAGUGCUUGAAACUUCUACGAAUAACUAAUGUUUCAUCAGUACAUUAUGGAUAUGUAUGUAAAAAUUGAAAGUGAGAGAUUACGAUAUAUAAAAUUUAAUCGAGCAAAACUUCGUACUGAGGAGUAUAUUAAUAUGCGUAAUGCCAUAAUGGGUAACGUAACGUGCCACAAAUGACAUCAACAACAUCAGUACUGCAUAUACAUAUCCUCCCAUCAUCAUACAAUGGUCGUUCGCGUCAUAUGCAAGAAUACAUUCAAGACGCUAUGAAUUACGUACGUGCAACCGCCGACCAGAUCUUUUUAUCACAUUUACGUGUAAUCUAAACUGGGAUGAAAUUAAAAAUUUGCAGUUGUCAGGUCAAAUAUCGAUGCAUCGCAAGAAAAUCCGUGUUUCUCUCACGGUCAGUUAUAUGUUGCUUGUUCCUGAGUUGGAAACUCAUUGAAUUUGUUUGUUUAGACGCUUCAAGGACUAAGCAAAAAUAUUGUACAUCCAAUGGCAUUACGAUAAACUGAGUUUAUGUAAAUUACAAAAAAUAUAGGUUAUAAAAUAAAACAGUUUGAGUGUAAGCUUUUUCACCUUUAAUUAAAAUGACUUAAAAUUAUUACUGAACACAGCUUCUAGAUUUUAUUUCACUCAUACAGUAUACACAUAUUCACAACCUAUGGAUUGGUUGAAUUUUGAUAAAUGGGCCUGUAAUGAGGUUAGAUACUGUAACAACUAUAUAUGUAUGUAUACGUAAUUACGUGAACGCAGAAGAGGUUUAGUAGGUGAGGAGAACACUAUUUUAUCCUAUACCGUCAGGUCCAAAACGAACUGUGUCGUAAAGAGAAAGGUAUACUCGGAGGAGCUUGAUAUCUCUCUUACCUUGCCGUCUACAAAGCUCAGCCAGCAUCUUCCAAGCGGAAGUACUGGGUAUAGAGCAGGACUGUGAAGUUCUAUUUAUUGAACAAAUCUCCAGUUUUAUCACAAAUCAGACCACGAAUGUCUGGAAUUCAUCAGAUAGCAAGCCUUGAAUGUCUAUCUAAAAAAAGCAUAACAGAAUUAAGUAGCUUCAUUGAGGGCUUUAAAUGACUUGAACGCAACAAUGAAACGCGUAAGUUCUUACGAUAGAGUAUCAAAAUAGCAUAUUGAAUUCAAAGGCCAGCACUCUUACCUACCUCCCAACUAUGGCUAUUUCGACCAAACUUGUUGAUUAUGAAUCUUUCUAGCACUCCUUAAACAUUCCCUAAUAAUACUUUUGCUGAACAUUGUUUAUAAUGCG
This is a long non-coding RNA of Bactrocera dorsalis (oriental fruit fly), 3297 nucleotides long. RefSeq lists it as uncharacterized. The record is from RefSeq and is a predicted model, not a curated record. The transcript has 3 exons. Lineage: Eukaryota; Metazoa; Arthropoda; Insecta; Diptera; Tephritidae.